GAAAGGCCAGCUCAAUGAUUGAGUCACUCACUCUUAGUUGGUGAGCCUGUCUGGAGGAGGAGAUUUUUUUCCCUGGAUCCUGCAUCAGCUUGCUGGGCAACCCAGAAUGUGGAAAAUAUUUCUGGAGGACCUGGCAUCAGGAAAAGUUGGGGGUUAAUUCUGUCCUUUAAUACUUAUUUGUUAUAUGACUAUAAAGUUGUUAAUUGA
This 207-nucleotide long non-coding RNA is filed under the name Monodelphis domestica (gray short-tailed opossum). RNAcentral's name for it is "lncRNA (ENSMODG00000049365.1)". Lineage: Eukaryota; Metazoa; Chordata; Mammalia; Didelphimorphia; Didelphidae. The record is from RNAcentral.